RNAcentral lists this ribosomal RNA (253 nucleotides) under uncultured bacterium. RNAcentral's name for it is "partial 16S ribosomal RNA". It matches the Rfam family "Bacterial small subunit ribosomal RNA", at positions 524 to 776 of the family's 1533-position model. The record is from RNAcentral.
UACGUAGGUGGCAAGCGUUGUCCGGAAUUAUUGGGCGUAAAGCGCGCGCAGGCGGUCCUUUAAGUCUGAUGUGAAAGCCCACGGCUCAACCGUGGAGGGUCAUUGGAAACUGGGGGACUUGAGUGCAGGAGAGAAGAGUGGAAUUCCACGUGUAGCGGUGAAAUGCGUAGAGAUGUGGAGGAACACCAGUGGCGAAGGCGGCGUUCUGGACUGUUUCUGACACUGAAAAACGAAAGCCAGGGGAGCAAACGGG